GUGAAAUUGUUGAAAGGGAAGCGCUUGCAACCAGACCUGCCUGCAGUUGCUCAUCCGGGCUUUUGCCCGGCGCACUCUUCUGCUGUCAGGCCAGCAUCGGUUCGGGCGGUCGGAUAAAGGCUUCGGGAAUGUAGCUCCUCUCGAGGAGUGUUAUAGCCCGUUGCGAAAUGCGGCCAGCCUGGACUGAGGUCCGCGCUUCGGCUAGGAUGCUGGCGUAAUGGUUGUAAGCGGCCCGUCUUGAAACACGGACCAAGGAGUCUAACAUCUGUGCGAGUGUUUGGGUGUCAAACCCGUACGCGUAAUGAAAGUGAACGGAGGCGGGAACCCCUCGGGGUGCACCGUCGACCGAUCCUGAUGUCUUCGGAUGGAUUUGAGUAAGAGCAUAGCUGUUGGGACCCGAAAGAUGGUGAACUAUGCCUGAAUAGGGUGAAGCCAGAGGAAACUCUGGUGGAGGCUCGCAGCGGUUCUGACGUGCAAAUCGAUCGUCAAAUUUGGGCAUAGGGGCGAAAGACUAAUCGAACUAUCUAGUAGCUGGUUCCUGCCGAAGUUUCCCUCAGGAUAGCAGUAACGUUUUCAGUUUUAUGAGGUAAAGCGAAUGAUUAGAGGCCUGGGGGUUGAAACAACCUUCACCU
Molecule: ribosomal RNA, 632 nt
Filed under: uncultured Ascomycota
Lineage: Eukaryota; Fungi; Ascomycota
Description: LSU rRNA
Rfam family: Eukaryotic large subunit ribosomal RNA
Source: RNAcentral